UUAAUGGUUAGCGUCAAAACCGUACUUUGCUUCAAGAAAGAUGGUGACCUACUAACGGGUUAUCAAUAAGCUGAAGCUCAUUAACUUCAUUAGAAAAUAGUGUUAUUACUCCUGACUUUACUUUCCGUGUGGCCGCUCAGACAGAACGUGUUUCAGCUGGCGGCUCUCAUGGACUCAGAGCUUCACCGUCGGGGGUUUUUAUAGUUUGGACGAAGCGGCCGCUGAAGUUGG
Molecule: long non-coding RNA, 231 nt
Organism: Poecilia latipinna (sailfin molly)
Lineage: Eukaryota; Metazoa; Chordata; Actinopteri; Cyprinodontiformes; Poeciliidae
Exons: 3
Source: RefSeq, a predicted model, not a curated record